GGAUGUAUCUGGUGAGUUGGCUUUACUUGUUGAGGGUCUUGGAGUUGGGGGUGAGACCUCUCUUGAGGAAUACAUAAUUGGUCCUGCAGACGACCUUGCUGACCAAGAUCUAUUGACUGACAAAGAUGAAAUCAAAUUAUAUGGACCUGAACAAGGACUCUCCUGGGUUGCUAGGCCGGUUACAGGACAGAGUUCUCUUGGCCUAGUGUCUCGGCAUGGAAGCGUUAUAAAUCAGAGUGGGCUUAUCGAUCCUCUUGUCAC
Molecule: unclassified non-coding RNA, 261 nt
Filed under: Hevea brasiliensis (rubber tree)
Lineage: Eukaryota; Viridiplantae; Streptophyta; Magnoliopsida; Malpighiales; Euphorbiaceae
Source: RNAcentral